This 467-nucleotide ribosomal RNA is filed under the name uncultured bacterium. RNAcentral describes it as "partial 16S ribosomal RNA". It matches the Rfam family "Bacterial small subunit ribosomal RNA", at positions 28 to 506 of the family's 1533-position model. The record is from RNAcentral.
GACGAACGCUGGCGGCGUGCUUAACACAUGCAAGUCGAACGGAAAGGCCCUGCUUUUGUGGGGUGCUCGAGUGGCGAACGGGUGAGUAACACGUGAGUAACCUGCCCUUGACUUUGGGAUAACUUCAGGAAACUGGGGCUAAUACCGGAUAGGAGCUCCUGCUGCAUGGUGGGGGUUUGAAAGUUUCGGCGGUUGGGGAUGGACUCGCGGCUUAUCAGCUUGUUGGUGGGGUAGUGGCUUACCAAGGCUUUGACGGGUAGCCGGCCUGAGAGGGUGACCGGCCACAUGGGGACGGAGAUACGGCCCAGACUCCUACGGGAGGCAGCAGUGGGGAAUAUUGCACAAUGGGCGGAAGCCUGAUGCAGCAACGCCGCGUGCGGGAUGACGGCCUUCGGGUUGUAAACCGCUUUAGCCUGUGACGAAGCGUGAGUGACGGUAAUGGGUAAAGAAGCACCGGCUAACUACGU